RNAcentral lists this ribosomal RNA (405 nucleotides) under uncultured bacterium. Its description in RNAcentral is "bacterial SSU rRNA". It matches the Rfam family "Bacterial small subunit ribosomal RNA", at positions 28 to 480 of the family's 1533-position model. The record is from RNAcentral.
GAUGAACGCUGGCGGCGUGCUUAACACAUGCAAGUCGAACGAACCUUCGGGUUAGUGGCGGACGGGUGAGUAACGCGUGAGAAUCUGCCCUCAGGAGGGGGAUAACGGCUGGAAACGGCCGCUAAUACCCCAUAUGCCGAGAGGUGAAAUGAAAUUCGCCUGAGGAUGAGCUCGCGUCUGAUUAGCUAGUUGGUGUGGUAAAGGCUCACCAAGGCUUCGAUCAGUAGCUGGUCUGAGAGGAUGAUCAGCCACACUGGGACUGAGACACGGCCCAGACUCCUACGGGAGGCAGCAGUGGGGAAUUUUCCGCAAUGGGCGCAAGCCUGACGGAGCAACGCCGCGUGAGGGAUGAAGGCCUCUGGGCUGUAAACCUCUUUUAUCAAGGAAGAAGAUCUGACGGUACUU